Molecule: microRNA precursor, 89 nt
Filed under: Canis lupus familiaris (dog)
Lineage: Eukaryota; Metazoa; Chordata; Mammalia; Carnivora; Canidae
Also listed under: 1 other name
Description: mir-8799 microRNA precursor family
Rfam family: mir-8799 microRNA precursor family
Source: Rfam by way of RNAcentral
GGGGGGAGGCCGGAUCCUGGGCUUUGUCCUGGUGCCCUGUGCUCGGGGACCUGCGCUGUUGGAUUCGCGCUCCCGCCCCGCAGCCCCUC